UACGGGGGGGGCAAGCGUUGUUCGGAAUUACUGGGCGUAAAGGGCGCGUAGGUGGCCUGUUAAGUCGGGUGUGAAAACUCUGGGCUCAACCCAGAGCCUGCAUUCGAUACUGAUGGGCUAGAGUUCUGGAGGGGAAAGCGGAAUUCCUGGUGUAGCGGUGAAAUGCGUAGAUAUCAGGAGGAACACCGGUGGCGAAGGCGGCUUUCUGGACAGAAACUGACGCUGAGGAGCGAAAGCCAGGGGAGCAAACGGG
This 253-nucleotide ribosomal RNA is filed under the name uncultured bacterium. RNAcentral's name for it is "partial 16S ribosomal RNA". It matches the Rfam family "Bacterial small subunit ribosomal RNA", at positions 524 to 776 of the family's 1533-position model. The record is from RNAcentral.